UCACGGAUCCAGACUUUGAUCAUGGCUCAGGAUGAACGCUAGCGGCAGGCUUAACACAUGCAAGUCGAGGGGCAGCGCGAGUAGCAAUACUUGGCGGCGACCGGCGCAAGGGUGCGUAACGCGUGAGAACAUGCCCGUAUCAGGGGGAUAAUCCAGGGAAACUUGGUCUAAUACCCCAUAGUAAUUUCGUAAGGCAUCUUAUGGGAUUKAGAGCUUUGGUGGAUACGGAUUGGCUCGCGUGACAUUAGCUGGAUGGUAAGGUAACGGCUUACCAUGGCUAUGAUGUCUAGGGGUUCUGAGAGGAAGGUCCCCCACACUGGAACUGAGACACGGUCCAGACUCCUACGGGAGGCAGCAGUGAGGAAUAUUGGACAAUGGAUGGAUAUCUGAUCCAGCCAUGCCGCGUGAAGGAAGAAUGUCCUAUGGAUUGUAACUUCUUUUGUAUGGGAGCAAUAAGGUCUUCGUGAAGACUGAUGAGAGUACCCAUACGAAUAAGCAUCGGCUAACUCCGUGCCAGCAGCCGCGGUAAUACGGAGGAUGCGAGCGUUAUCCGGAUUUAUUGGGUUUAAAGGGUGCGUAGCUGUUAUAUAAGUCAGUGGUGAAUAUUCGGGCUCAACCGGGAUACUGCCAUUGAUACUGUAUAGCUGGAAUAUGGUUGCUGUGGUUGAAUGCUGGUUGGUUUAACCGGUGAAAUGCAUAGAUACCACACAGUAUAUUCGAUUGCCAGGCACUCACAA
Molecule: ribosomal RNA, 737 nt
Filed under: enrichment culture LET-13
Lineage: Bacteria; Pseudomonadati; Bacteroidota
Description: bacterial SSU rRNA
Rfam family: Bacterial small subunit ribosomal RNA
Source: RNAcentral